Daphnia carinata is the source of this 368-nucleotide long non-coding RNA. RefSeq lists it as uncharacterized. The record is from RefSeq and is a predicted model, not a curated record. Lineage: Eukaryota; Metazoa; Arthropoda; Branchiopoda; Diplostraca; Daphniidae. The transcript has 4 exons.
GUUGACUGGCACAGCACUGAUUCAAGAAUAACAUGCGGCUGUAAAUAUAGACAGUGCAACCAAGUUUCGAUUAUUGCAAGAGGCGUAUUUUCACAGAUAGUGAUCGCUUGAUAAAGUUUUUGACGGACGUGAUAAUUACUAACUCUGUAACCGAAGAAAGGAUAUGCUACAUCGACGGCGAGAAAAAAGAACAUAAUAUCGCUAAAAUAGGAAUUUGGAAUGGCAACAAGAUAUCGUGACCGCUACAUUAACAACUGAUUUCUGUUUGCCAAUUGGAGGUGUCAUCGCCAUUGCUAUAGGCCAAUUUACAUUCUUCAUUGUGGGAAAGGUUAUCCCAACGCAAACGGCGCUUUGCCAUUUGUUGCCAG